RNAcentral lists this ribosomal RNA (411 nucleotides) under bacterium enrichment culture clone ALO1_GLFRUDD03GIS2U. Its description in RNAcentral is "bacterial SSU rRNA". It matches the Rfam family "Bacterial small subunit ribosomal RNA", at positions 9 to 420 of the family's 1533-position model. The record is from RNAcentral.
GAGUUUGAUCAUGGCUCAGAUUGAACGCUGGCGGCAUGCCUUACACAUGCAAGUCGAACGGCAGCACGGGAGCUUGCUCCUGGUGGCGAGUGGCGAACGGGUGAGUAAUGCAUCGGAACGUAUCCUGGAGUGGGGGAUAACGUAGCGAAAGUUACGCUAAUACCGCAUAUUCUGUGAGCAGGAAAGCGGGGGACCUUCGGGCCUCGCGCUCUUGGAGCGGCCGAUGUCGGAUUAGCUAGUUGGUGAGGUAAAGGCUCACCAAGGCGACGAUCCGUAGCAGGUCUGAGAGGAUGAUCUGCCACACUGGAACUGAGACACGGUCCAGACUCCUACGGGAGGCAGCAGUGGGGAAUUUUGGACAAUGGGGACAACCCUGAUCCAGCCAUGCCGCGUGAGUGAAGAAGGCCUCGG